RNAcentral lists this ribosomal RNA (253 nucleotides) under uncultured bacterium. RNAcentral's name for it is "partial 16S ribosomal RNA". It matches the Rfam family "Bacterial small subunit ribosomal RNA", at positions 524 to 776 of the family's 1533-position model. The record is from RNAcentral.
UACGGAGGGUGCAAGCGUUAUCCGGAUUCACUGGGUUUAAAGGGUGCGUAGGUGGGUUGGUAAGUCAGUGGUGAAAGCCCCGAGCUUAACUUGGGAAUUGCGCUUGUGACUGGCGUGCUGGAGUGUGGCAGAGGGAGGUGGAAUUCCACGUGUAGCAGUGAAAUGCGUAGAGAUGUGGAGGAACACCGAUGGCGAAGGCAGCCUCCUGGGCCAGCACUGACGCUCAUGCACGAAAGCGUGGGGAGCAAACAGG